AUUCUGUUUGUACCUCUGUCAGCACAUUUUCGGCUCUGCUAUAUUAUGCAUAGGGCUAUGUCUAAACUGCUUGCCGAUGAAAGACCGUGCAUUUAAUAUUCAUAAUAAGAUCACCUUUAUAAUUGCUGUAUAAGUAGUGCCAGUUGAAUUAGCACUGUGUUUGGAGUCUAUACAUUGGCAUUGUCACUAUGACAGGGGUUUCACGUCAAUACACAGUAGCAAUUAGCAGCGAUUGCCACUUGAUGUCACUGUUGUCGUUCAAACCCAUAGCUGAAAAAGGCCUGCUAGCUGCUUUUCAAUACUGGAACAUGAAUGUGACGUUUCAGACCGUGUCCUGUUAGGAGAUGCCAUCUUCAGAAGUUCUCUCACAGUGACAGAAUCUCAAGGUUGAGUGUUUGGUAGACCUGUACCACAGCUGGUUUUCUGGGGCAGAGAAGAACCUGAAAAAACAGAAUCUUAGAGGCAGACUAAAUCAAGUGUCCCCAGGAGGUACUCCAAGUCCUCUGUGGGUGCAGGUAAGAACAUGCACAGGACCGUGGUUUUGAUGCCAACAUGCUUAGGAGGCUGUUACGUCUGACUGUCUGGGGUUAUUGUUUAGAACUGACUAUUACGAACUAUCUAGACAACAUAACUCUUCUAGAUUAGUUUUGUCCAAUUUUUAUUGGAUCUAGGAUAAGAGAAUUGUGCCUACCCGACCGUGAC
Molecule: long non-coding RNA, 702 nt
Filed under: Struthio camelus australis
Lineage: Eukaryota; Metazoa; Chordata; Aves; Struthioniformes; Struthionidae
Description: lncRNA (ENSSCUG00000008844.1)
Source: RNAcentral